Molecule: ribosomal RNA, 254 nt
Filed under: uncultured bacterium
Lineage: Bacteria
Description: partial 16S ribosomal RNA
Rfam family: Bacterial small subunit ribosomal RNA
Source: RNAcentral
UACGUAGGGGGCUAGCGUUGUCCGGAUUUACUGGGCGUAAAGGGCGGGUAGGCGGCCACCGCAAGUCAGUUGUGAAAUCUCUGGGCUUAACCCAGAAAGGUCAACUGAUACUGCGGGGCUAGAGUGCAGAAGGGGCAACUGGAAUUCUCGGUGUAGCGGUGAAAUGCGUAGAUAUCGAGAGGAACACCUGCGGCGAAGGCGGGUUGCUGGGCUGACACUGACGCUGAACUGCGAAAGCUAGGGGAGCGAACGGG